RNAcentral lists this long non-coding RNA (4373 nucleotides) under Triticum aestivum (bread wheat). RNAcentral describes it as "long non-coding RNA (TAES_LNC002836)". Lineage: Eukaryota; Viridiplantae; Streptophyta; Magnoliopsida; Poales; Poaceae. The record is from RNAcentral.
CCAUUCGCCGCCGCCUAUCCCUGCGCUACCUCCAUCCCUUCGCCGCCGCCCUCCCACCAAGCCGCCGCCGAUCCUGGAGCUACCUCCAUUCCUUCUGCGCCGCCGAUCCUGGAGCUACCUCCAUCCCUUCGGCGCCGCCAUCCCAUCAAGCCGCCGCCGAUCCUGGAGCCAUCUACCCCUGGAUCCCUUCGCGGGCGCCGAUCCCGUCGAGGUACCUAGCGGAUCACUUCCCGGGCACCGAUCCCGUCGCUAUGAAGACUGCAACCAUUUGAAGCCGCCGAUCCCCUUGCCAUCGUUGAUCCCUUUGCAACGUUCAGGAGCCGACGCCGAUCCCCUUCAGGAGCCAUCUGAUAUGAACGCACGGGCACGCCGAUCCCAUUCAGGAGCCGACGCAGGAUGAGGCAAGCCCCCGCGCGUCAAUCGCAGAGAGCCUCGCGAUGCAGGUGAGCUCAUUCCCGCGGCCUCUUUCGGUGCCAAUUUGGCGUGGUUUGGACGGUGCUUUCUCCGGACAUCUGCCCGGCAGCGCUAUGCGGGCUCCCCUCCAAGUCCUCGGUGCACGCCCAGGCCAAGAAUCUGUUGUUGGCCCCGCCCUCGGAAAUCCGUUGCUGCUGUUAUCGAUCCCACUCCCAAAUGGAUUCCCGAGUCCCGAAAAAUAGGUGUUUUCUGAUCUAUCUGUGUACUGAUUUGUAUCUUUCUUUCUUCGUCUGCGUGUGAUGGCCAGGUACUGCUGCUGCCAGUCAGGAUGCAAGAAUCUGCUACCAAUACUGCAAAAGGAAGAUUUCUACAAUAACAAGAAGGAAGUAUUGUAUUUUCUCGCCAUUGCCCGUGAGGGCAAAAUUUGGUAACUGGUGCAUUGUUAAUGUUAUCCAUUAUGCCUUUCAUCACCACAACCCCCCUUCCUCCUAUAAAGUGGCAUCCUAUCUUUUCUCAAAUUCCUCUUCUCAACACAAAAAUCGUCGUCUAAAGGUCUUAUUAUUAUCAUGUUAAACGCUCUUUUUUGUUGACAUGUGUUCCUUCCCUUUUAUCUUGCAUAGGGAAAAUAGGGCCAGAGUAAAAUUUGUCAACUGCACUUUGUGAUGUUGGCGCUUGGGGUCAGAUGGUCCAUCGAUUGUAGGUAUAAUUGACUGCAUUAGCUGUUCCCAUGUAGCUGUUUUGUAGUACUAUUGAUUUAACUGCCACUGUUUAUUCCAGAUUUUUAUGCCUUCUGUAGGUGUAAAUGUAAUAGACUGAUAAUUGGCGACAGGAGAUACCUGCAUGUAUGCCACAUUGGGUGACCUUCAGAUAAUGCUCACCUUCAGGGAAAGCUUAUCAUAGGUAUUUUCUCUGGCCAGAUUGUUUGCUGAAUGUGUGGAACUGUAUAAUACGAAGUCAUCUCCGUUCACAAUCCUUGGUAGGUUGCAGAACUGCUUGUCUUCCUUGGUUAUGAAUCCAACUAAAUUAAUCCCUGCUAACGUGUGUUUUGUGCUCAACUGCACUGCAAUUUGUCUAUGCUGAACCAACUAAGUGGUUAUCUUCUAGGUGUGAGAUAUUUACAUUUAUUGAUUUUUAAGUCUACAAGGAAUGUCUUAUUUUCCACUUCUUGAUUAGCUGACUAUGCUCUUCUCCACCUUGCUCAUGGGGCACACAUACAUGUAAAUAUGCCUUUUUGGCUUUCCCGUUUCAGAAAUAGUAUCCAUGAAGUUUAUUGAAGAGAGCGACUCAUUUUUUAUACUGGAUGGGAACGCUUCCAUCAUAGGCUCCAUCUCAUCCGAUCUUUGAGCCGGUCUAUUUUCAACAUUUAUACGAAGAAGAUCUAGCACCAAAGGUUCACCAUCGGGAUUAACACUGUUUCAGCGAUGAUAUAUCUCCAGCUGCAUUAUUAACGAGCUUUCCAAUGACACCAUAUUGUUUUAGGUGAACACUUUUGCUGCCACACCCACAUGUUGUUUUACGUGAACACUUUCCAAUGGCUCAUUGUUGCUCAGUUACAAUUGUGUCGCAAUACUAUUUUGUAGGGAUGUACUUCCCCUGGUAUACCAAUGACGGAUCUAUGUGCUCCCAAUUGUAACAUAGAUUGUAUUUUUUUUCAUCCAUGAUUUAACUUUCUUGCAAGCAAAUUCCUACACAACGCAUUAAUUUAUAUCUUGGAGCUUAUCUAUGUGCUCCCUCUGUAAAGAAAUAUAAGAUCUUUUAUAUCAGACCUAAGUUAUCAUGCUCGAGGAAAAAGAGAAUGAAAAUAUGGAAAUUUGUACGUAAUGCACAAUAAGUAUGUCAGAAUGGAAAUUUGUACAUAACCUUUCAUAGGGUCUUCAUUUCAAAAUCUUUGUUCUUUACAGUGUCAUGUGAGAUUACUUAUGUCAUAUCACUCUAUUUACUAAAAAAUUGAUGUGAUCAUUCACAUUUUGCAAUCUUUACAAUUAUAUUCCAAGUAUAGUGUCCAUUGCAAUUUCUCAUCUCAAGAUUGUAUAUGGACUGUGAGAGCAAAAAUUAUUUGGUUUACGUAUUAUCAAAAGUUCCCGCAGCAACGAGUUUAUCGCCGAACCGCCCCCAGUGCCGAGUUUAUCGCCGGCGCACCCCCAGGCCGCUCUUUUUCGACGCCCUGGGGGGCUGAACGGCUGGAGAUGCUCUUAGCGGGCAUGCCCUGGUUGAGGCCCCCAAAAUUCAGAUGACGGCGCUGAGGAGAUCACGUAACCCCAAGGCAGGGCGUAGCGACCGGCGAGGAGCGCCUCAAGGGCGUGGCCCCCGAUUCGUGGAUCGACAGCGUGGAGCCAAUCGUGUGCGGACAGGAUGUGGCGGUGCUGCAGCAAGCGAGGAGCGCCACUACCGUUCGCACAAGAUUCGCCGUCUCGUCUCUGCGAUUUGACCGCCGCCGGCGGUCUGCGCUCCACUGUCCGCAUCCGAACUCGCCAGAGCCGCGGUGCCCCAUGAACCGCCCGCCUCCCCCAUUUCGUUUCCGUUUGAUGGUAGUGACGACGACGACCAAGGUAGGCCCUUUCCUCCUCCCACUCUUUCUCUAUCUCUAUCUUUUUUUUCAAAAAGGGGGGACUCCUCGGCCUCUGCAUCAGAACGAUGCAUACGGCCACAAACUCUAUCUCUAUCUCUAUCUGCCUGCACCCUUCUCCCUACGACAAUAUAUUUGGGGGCGGAGCCUAGGGUAGCAGACGCCGGGGCGUGCAUCAGUUGGGCAAUGCCUUGUGCGUGCAGGACAAAACUGUGAGAGACAUGCUAUGCGAGUCAAUUAGGGAUGCCGAAUUUCCCUAUAAGCUUUGUAGUUUAGAACAUACAUAAAUUGUAUUUCAAGGGGGAUCAACCAGAUAAAUAAGUAAUGAUUGAGGAAGUACACGCUAUGUGAUCAAGUACAUAAAUGCAGUAAUGAUAUAUUGCUAGGAUGAUCAUAGAGGCUUGUACAUGAGGCUUUUGUUGAAUAAUUGUGAAUUGACUUUUUCUUAGGAUCCAAUCUUUGAUCAAACUACACCACCAUUGAAUUUAGGAAGGCCCAUGUACUUUAGUAUCACUUCUUAAAUUAAACUUGACCAUUAAUUUCAUAACAUAGUAAUAGCCUAUAUUUAUAUUUCAAGAGAAGAACUUGGUUCAAGUUAUGCUGGUUAUUUUACUCUGUUUUUGUAGCACGGGAAAAAGUUACCUUUACCCAACUGGUGCAGCGGAAUCUCUAGCAACCAAACUUGAGACAAAGUCUGGCAUAUGCUCCAUCCAAACAAUAGAGGAUUAGAGGGCAUAGCCGCAUGGUAACCAUACUUGCACUUAAGAGUGCGCUGCUGAAGUACAUGCCAUGUGGAUAGAUGCUUCUACAAUGACUGGAGGGUGCAUCAAUGGGGACGUUGCAACCCCCUGAUGGGCAGCAUGCAGGGACGCUGCAACCUGCAGUUCAUGUCCUUCUCACCAGGCCCCACUUCCUCACCUUGAUCUGAAAUCAUGUGAACUGAAGGAAUGCUUGACUGUUUUAUAGUUGGUGAUUGAAGGGUGGGGUGGCUUCCAUAAUUUUCUUGUAGUUAUUUGUGGUAUGACUUUAAAAUUAGGAUUGCCCAGAACUUUAAAUUACUAUACAACUUGACCUUCUUGGCGUUGCUGCUUAUUGAUCACAUCCAUGCUAACUCAGUAACACUCCUCCCCUACCGUGUCUCAAAGCACACAUGAGUGUACUGAUUAAUUAUCUUGACAGGUUGUCACUGAGUCGGCCAUGAUUCCAUAUUUUAAGUAUAGUUGGACAGUUGCAACUAUUUUUCUUCAUCACAUCGGAUACUCGGAAAUGUUUUUGCUUGAAGAGGUAAUGUGCUGACAAAGGCUCUUUGACUUAAUUUAGGCCACAUCAUUGGGCUUUGUAAGUCACAUCCAUGCUUAGUUGCUUACUGUUUAUUUAGUGCUUAGUUAUUUUU